UACGGGGGGAGCAAGCGUUGUUCGGAUUUACUGGGCGUAAAGGGCGCGUAGGCGGCCACCGCAAGUCGACUGUGAAAUCUCCGGGCUUAACCCGGAACGGUCAGCCGAUACUGCGGGGCUAGAGUGCAGAAGGGGCAACUGGAAUUCUCGGUGUAGCGGUGAAAUGCGUAGAUAUCAAGAGGAACACCUGAGGCGAAGGCGGGUUGCUGGGCUGACACUGACGCUGAGGCGCGAAAGCUAGGGUAGCAAACAGGAUUAGAUACCCCAGUAGUCC
Molecule: ribosomal RNA, 274 nt
Filed under: uncultured bacterium
Lineage: Bacteria
Description: partial 16S ribosomal RNA
Rfam family: Bacterial small subunit ribosomal RNA
Source: RNAcentral